UUUCAUUUCUGAAGCGCGAGGUUCAAGUGUGACAUUUAGCGUCAUGCUAUUCUGCAGCAGAUGUCACUUUGUUUUGCUGUUACAGCUGCUGACAGUCAUAGCAGGCUCUUUUCCUUCAGUAAAGGUGAAUCUUCAUGAUGCUGCUACUCUCCCCUGCACUCAGACGUGUUCUGGUCUGGUCACAUGGACUGUGUCCUAUAAACAACUUGACAUUCUGGCUCAGUGUAACCAGACAUCCUGCCAGUCAGGGGAGGGAUUUCACAUGUCCCAUGAUCAGUACCUGAAGGGAGAUCUCUCCCUCACCAUCACUGAUGCCGAUUACACUAAGAAGACCUGGUACACCUGCAGCUGUAAUGGGAAAGACAUCUGUGAUGUGAGUCUACAGAUAGAGGCCCAGAAUUCCUCAAUUCAGAUUAAGCCUGGUGAACCUCUGGUGCUGGAUUUGCUCAUAUCAGAGUCAGUGGAGGUGAUUUAUAACAGCAAAGGUGCAGCUGCUCCCUCUAGUGGACAGAUCUGUACAGUGGCUGGACACUCACUGAAGUGUAAACCUGAAUACACUCGGAGAGUGUCGCUCAUCUCUGCUGUGGAGCUGCAAGGAACCACACCAUCUGAUAGUGGAGUUUACAGCAUCAGAGACACUAAGAAUGAAGAGAUUAUACAGACAUACACAGAUACUGUGGAAGACGUCCAGCCAUGUCCAGAUCAGAGCUCCACAGUGACGGUGUUGACGGUGCUCCUGGCUCUGACGGGGGCGGGGCUUGUGGCAGCAGUGCUGGUGAUUGUGCAGCUGAGGAAAAAAAUUCAGGAGCUCUAGAAAGGAAGUACAGUGAAUGGAACAGUAACCAUGACAACAGAGGAGUUAAUAUGAAUGGACUAAACCACUCAGAUGAAGAGCAGAGGUGAUCUCCCAAUAAUAACCAUGAGAGUCUGAGAGAUGAUAAAUUAUUUCGUUCUCUUUUACACACACACAAACGUAUCUGCACUGCUUUUCUCUGUCCCAUUCAGGGGUCAAAGAUCAGUGUAUGUUCAGUCAUGCAUGAUCAGAGUUUUAUCACAUUAGCUCUGCUGAAGCUCACCUGGUAGAGCAGGUACAGUAAGAUUUGAUCCUCAGAGAGCACACAUGCUGUCAUACUGAUGAAUAUGUAUCAGUCACUAUAAGAGGAUCUGCCCAGUACUGUAAAUGUAAUGUAAAGAUGUUUUAUUUAAAUAUUACUGUGAGAUCCUGUGAUGUGAUUUAAUGCACGUUAAAUACUUUUGUGUUAGCUCAUGGAAAAAACGGACAUUUUGUCUGGAGCAUCUUUGAAUAGUUUAAAUAUUUUAGUUGCCAUUUGUCAACAUGUUUUAAUUAAGAGUCCCCCUUAUUGUUCAGGUUAUAAUUUCAAGAGUCUCCCUUAUUGUUCAGGUUAUAAUUUCAAUAGUCUCCCAUGUGGUCUUGGUGAUUAUGGUCAGUUGUUGUGGUUGGUUUUCCCAAUGCUGUAAUGCUGCAUUCAUUUCAAAGCAUUGUAUUAUGGAAACAGGCCUCAUGUCAUUUGGCCUGCUUCAUGCCACUUGUGACAAAUCAUUAAACAAAUUUAC
Molecule: long non-coding RNA, 1575 nt
Organism: Electrophorus electricus (electric eel)
Lineage: Eukaryota; Metazoa; Chordata; Actinopteri; Gymnotiformes; Gymnotidae
Source: Ensembl